This is a long non-coding RNA of Oncorhynchus tshawytscha (Chinook salmon), 822 nucleotides long. Lineage: Eukaryota; Metazoa; Chordata; Actinopteri; Salmoniformes; Salmonidae. The record is from Ensembl.
CCCGGAGAAUGUAGAGAGAAACGGGAUGUUGCCGUAACUCUAGCCCUUGAAACAAGGUCACUCACGUCCGUUCAAAUAUGCAGUAUGAAGAUCUUCCGUUAUUACCCAAUUCGUUUCAAGUGGCUCCGACGCCGACCGGACAGCUUUUCCAUUCCGUGAGCCGGUACUGACAGCUUGUAAAUUCUGUAGGUCAUGUGACUAUCUCAACGAAUACUUUUUUGACUUUCCCGUUCGUCCUUCGCAGUCCUUGAUAAAGACGAACAGAGCGAGAGAAAACAGGGGAUUGUUACAGAGUAUAGCGUCAACAUGCGUAGCGGUAGGCUGCUAAAAGGCUACCUUCCUCUUCCGUUACUCAAGACGGUCCGGUUGUUGUGAUGUUUGUUUCUCCGUGGUUGUAGACUCUGAACAGUCUGUGCCGCUAUCUGUUUAGAAUGCGCCGUACAACCUGCUCAGAUAAUGCAUUGUGCUGGUGCCGGUUGGAGUGGGACAAGACAAGUGGGUGACCUCUUGGGGAUAAUGCAACUCCAUAGCCCCCUACCCAUCUCCACUAGUUGAGGACUCCACUGUGACAUCAUCAUCUCCACUAGCUGAGGACUCCACUGUGACAUCAUCAUCUCCACUAGCUGAGGACUCCACUGUGACAUCAUCAUCUCCACUAGCUGAGGACUCCACUGUGACAUCAUCAUCUCCACUACCCCCUACCCAUCUCCACUAGCUGAGGACUCCACUGUGACAUCAUCAUCUCCACUAGUUGAGGACUCCACUGUGACAUCAUCAACUCCACAGCCCCUACCCAUCUCCACUAGCUGAGGACUCCACUGU